RNAcentral lists this ribosomal RNA (393 nucleotides) under uncultured bacterium. Its description in RNAcentral is "partial 16S ribosomal RNA". It matches the Rfam family "Bacterial small subunit ribosomal RNA", at positions 523 to 918 of the family's 1533-position model. The record is from RNAcentral.
AUACGGAAGGUGCGAGCGUUAUCCGGAUUCAUUGGGUUUAAAGGGAGCGUAGGCGGAGCGCCAAGUCAGCUGUGAAAUCCCGCGGCUCAACCGUGGAACUGCAGUUGAAACUGGCGCCCUUGAGUGCACAUGAGGACGGCGGAAUUCGUGGUGUAGCGGUGAAAUGCUUAGAUAUCACGAAGAACCCCGAUUGCGAAGGCAGCUGUCUGGGGUGCCACUGACGCUGAGGCUCGAAAGUGCGGGUAUCAAACAGGAUUAGAUACCCUGGUAGUCCGCACAGUAAACGAUGGACACUCGUGGUCGGCGACACACUGCCGGUCACCAAGCGAAAGCGAUAAGUGUCCCACCUGGGGAGUACGCCGGCAACGGUGAAACUCAAAUGAAUUGACGGGG